GCCUCGCUAGCUCAAUUGGUAGAGCAGGGGCCUCUUAAGCCCAAGGUUACAGGUUCAAAUCCUGUGCGAGGCAC
RNAcentral lists this transfer RNA (74 nucleotides) under Parcubacteria group bacterium ADurb.Bin305. Its description in RNAcentral is "tRNA-Lys". It matches the Rfam family "tRNA". From Rfam's summary of the family: Transfer RNA (tRNA) molecules are approximately 80 nucleotides in length. The record is from RNAcentral.